Molecule: unclassified non-coding RNA, 421 nt
Filed under: soil metagenome
Description: partial contains 5.8S ribosomal RNA, internal transcribed spacer 2, and large subunit ribosomal RNA
Rfam family: 5.8S ribosomal RNA (bases 1-120)
Source: RNAcentral
GAUGAAGAACGUAGCGAAAUGCGACAAGUAAUGUGAAUUGCAGAAUUCAGUGAAUCAUCGAAUCUUUGAACGCAUAUUGCGCUCUUUGGUAUUCCGAAGAGCAUGCUUGUUUGAGUAUCAGUAAACACCUCAACCUCUUCUUGAUUUUUCAAAAGGAGGGUGGACUUGAGCUAUCCCAACAACCUUUACCGGUCGGCGGGCGGCUUGAAAUGCAGGUGCAGCUGGACUUUUAUCUGAGCUAAAAGCAUAUCUAUUUAGUCCUCGUCAAACAGGAUUAUUACUUUUGCUGCAGCUAACAUAAAGGAUAAUUGUCCUCUUUGCUGACUGAUGCAGGAUUUUACGACACUUUAUGUGUUGUUCAACUCGAUCUCAAAUCAAGUAAGACUACCCGCUGAACUUAAGCAUAUCAAUAAGCGGAGGA